Long non-coding RNA from Neofelis nebulosa (Clouded leopard), 956 nucleotides. RefSeq lists it as uncharacterized. The record is from RefSeq and is a predicted model, not a curated record. NCBI's taxonomy places the organism in Eukaryota, Metazoa, Chordata, Mammalia, Carnivora, Felidae. The transcript has 3 exons.
CAAAAUACAUGGAACAUUGUAAGAGCUCAACAAAUUGCUAGUAGGAGACAAGAGAGUGUGUAUCUGAAAGAGAAGAAACAAGGUGUCCCUUCUGUGAGGGCACUCACUCUCCAAAGAAAAACACUGUAUUACAAGGUGCUCUCUGGAUUGGAAAGAGGAAACACCCAGUCUCAAGGCUUUUAUCCAAGAAGAGCAGGAACCUUUCAUCUUGUCUGGAGCCCAAAGGAUCUAAGGAUGGAGUGAAGACAGACAAGAGUCUGGCAAAGUCUCGACUGGGUGCGCUUAUUCAAAGCAUGUCUGGGAUGAAGUCUCUCCAGUACUGGAUUUGCCAGACCACUCCAGCCUAGGGCAGGGCAAGCAGGAUUUCAGAACGGUUGCCUGUUUAUUCUACCAUGUUGUGUUCAGGGAGUGACCAGCCAACUGGUCUAUUUGCCCAAAGAGAUUCAACCCAACCACAGCCACCCUCCUCCAGGCGCUUUGGCUGCUCCCUUAAGAACCUCCCUUCCUUGCCUGCUGGGUGGAACUGGUCCUGACUGCUUUUAUUUUUCCAAACUCCUCUGUGCAUAAACAGGAUGUUUGGAAAAGCUCAAGAUGGCCAGGGGUCUGCUGAGUUGGCCCUUGAUUCUCACUUGGAGGGCAGUGUUGGGCAACAUCAGUGGAAUUGCUUCUGCCUGGAUGUUGCCCAGAAUAGCUAAAUCCUCUCCUCCCCCCAACCUUCUCACUCCCUCUCUUUUUCUCUCCCUUAGAGAACUUGGCUACAGGGAGUUCACACUGGUAGAAAUGAGGUAGAAGAGUUGCCUUCACUUUCUAAGGGUGUUUCCUAUGAGGGUAUUAAGAAAUAUCCCUGCUCCCAAAGGGUGCAAGGAAGAAAAGUGAAGCCAGUAGGUAGGAAACUUACUCCCUUUACAGAGCUCUUCUCAAGACCCUAAGGGCUAGGGCAGGACCCUAAAGAAAAA